Cucumis melo (muskmelon) is the source of this 1439-nucleotide long non-coding RNA. RefSeq lists it as uncharacterized. The record is from RefSeq and is a predicted model, not a curated record. The transcript has 3 exons. Lineage: Eukaryota; Viridiplantae; Streptophyta; Magnoliopsida; Cucurbitales; Cucurbitaceae.
ACAUUUUUGUUGUCGAAUAUGUUCUUUUGCAGCAUUUUGUAAGAUGGAGUUUGUGUACAAUUCAAUCUCAAUAUCCUAAGGAUUAAAUCCCUUACUGUUUCUUGUGGCAAGGUGCUCACUUGCAGUUGAGAAUACUUCAUAAGCCUACACCUAAAACAUUUAAACAAAUAUGUUAAACUUUGAUGUUUAAUUUGCAUUUAAUUAAAGUGUAUAAACAAAUAAAAAUCACCUAAAAAGCAAGCACGUUUAAUGUUGUAGUAUGCCAUUGCUUUGGAACUUUUUGUCUUCUUUAGCUUAUAUGUUUUUUUUCCCUUAUAGACUUGUCUUUAAACGGUUGAGCAGACGAGUGUAAAAGAAAGUUGACAAAUCGAAGCUUUUAAAUACUUCUUUCAUCACCUAAAACAUUUAGAUAUUGAGAUGGAAUUGUACACAAACUCCAUCUUACAAAAUGCUGCAAAAGAACAUAUUCGACAACAAAAAUACUGUUGUUAAACCUAAAUUUAAGCUAUCAACCCAAGAGAAAGCUUUCAUAGAGGGUCGAAUUCGAGGGAUGAUAACAUGCAAAUGGAGGACGAUCGAUCCUUUCCAGAUAUUAACAACAGUGAUACCAAUACUCCUGAUCAUGCAAUAAACAACAAAUCAUUGGAGCAAUCAAACUCAUCUCCACAACUGUCACAACGAAAGAAACAAAGUCAAACAGUGGCUGACUAGUCUGAAAUGCAUCCAAUCACCAAAAGAAACGUUGCAGAUCAAAGAAGUCCAAUGACAAAGAACAACAAAGUCAUUCAAAAUCCUACAAGAAACUGAAGAACGAAACAAAAGAAGUUCGUAAGGAUUUAUCUACACUGACUUCUAUAGUCUCUAGGAUGGAUGACACAAUCAAAAAGCAACCAUUGGAACUGUUGAAAUGAAGCAGAUGCUCAAGAGAUUGAUUCAGACAAUCAGAAACUUGAAUGGACAGACACAACAACACACUUAAAUCUAUGGACAGAAGAAGAUUUGGAAUACUAUUUCAACACAAAUGUUGGUGAUUUCCAAGAUAAACUAGGGUGAGAGAUGUCAACUACGUGAUUGGCUGCAUCAACAUAAAAGAACAUUGGUCGGCUAUUGUAGCUGAUAUGAGAAAAUGCAAAAUAUACGUGUUCGACUCAGUGCCAAAUUAUGUUCAGAAGAAACUUGUUUAUCAAGAUCUUGAAAUGCCUGCACGAUGCAUCGCCUCACUCGCAAUUGCAAUUGGAGUGAACCUCCUUUCAAAAUGAUUCAAAUAUAGCCCUUGGCGAGUACGCAUAUCGAAUACCACAUUACAGAAAGGGCGUUCACUGGAUUAUGACAUUUUCUGUUCUAAAUUUAUGGAAUGCCUUGUAGCAAAUGUUGACCAUGAUUGUCUAACUUUGCAAAACAUGAAACUGUUUAGACAACAGUAUGUACUGAAACUUUGG